UCAUACCGCCCUACCACCAUGAAUGUGUCCAAUCUCUUCUGACCUUGGAAGCUAAACAAGGUCAGGUCUGAUGGCAUUUGGAUGGGAGACUUGGAGAACACACACCAGUGUGUC
Molecule: ribosomal RNA, 114 nt
Filed under: Neotoma lepida (desert woodrat)
Lineage: Eukaryota; Metazoa; Chordata; Mammalia; Rodentia; Cricetidae
Source: RNAcentral